Molecule: long non-coding RNA, 1183 nt
Organism: Rattus rattus (black rat)
Lineage: Eukaryota; Metazoa; Chordata; Mammalia; Rodentia; Muridae
Exons: 2
Source: RefSeq, a predicted model, not a curated record
CUUUGUGGCACCCACAGCUCAUCCUGCAGUAGGAGUGAGCUGUAGGAAUUGAUUAUGGUUGGUCUGUAGGUACACAUCCAUAAUAAAAUUGUUCCUCACUUUGCCUUCUAGGUAACUAAAAAACCUUGGCUUUAUAACAACAAAAUUACGAGUCAACAUUUUCAACAGAAGCCAUCCCCAACCCAGCUUAAAUUAUAAACAUAGAAAAUAACUUUGUCCAAACUGCGUGGUGCUUCUUUAGUAAAUACUGUACAGAUUUUACCAUGGACAACUUUUUUCCUUUUUUUUUUUUUCUUUUUCUUUUUUUUUUCAGUUUUUACCUUUUCUUAAUUGCCCUUAUUCCAAAUGGAUACUUUGUACACUGCUGAACGUUGUAAAUUACCGUGUACAUAAAACCACACUGACAAUAACGCCCUGGAAUAGACCAUCUCAAUGCUGCUUAACCACAGACUCAGGUGACUACUUGUAUCUCAUGUAAUGUCCCUCCACGCUAGACACCUGGUGCACGGCCAGCUGGGAACCAUGAACUUCACAAGGACAAGCGACAGUGCGUCUGUUUAAUUUAAAGACCCAAGCUCUCAGCGAGACCUUCGAGGGCUUCCUCUGCAAUGUCUGAUACUAGAAACUAAUUUGCUUCACAUUUUAGUUGUAUUCAAGAUUUGAAGAUGUGUUUUAUAGACAAGUUCUGUUUUUGAACUUUGUGGAACUAUUCCAAUCAACUUACCAGUUAUGAUGAGUAUUUGCAUUAUGAAUGUAUAAUCCAGACAUUAUUUGUAAAGCCUACAGUAUGUUUUUUUUACCUAACACUUUUUAUACUGUGUCUCGUCUCGACAAUAUGAUGUUGGAGUCUGAGUCGUCAGCUUGAUCCCUUCAAGUUUCUAGUUACAGACAAAAAUCAUACUGUGAUUUUAUUUUUAAUAUGGAUAUGCUAUAAAACUGUGACACUUAUAAUUCACUGGUCCUGCAUCAGGAGACGGGAGUGGGGAGAAGACUGUAUUUAAUACAGUGUGUAUCUGAAUAAUCUGUAUGGUUUAUAUACAGUUUGUGUUGUUCAGAGAUGUCUAAAGUUGAUCUUUGUUUUUUUAAGAUUAAAAAAAGCACUUGCCCCACUGUAUAUAUACGGCAUGUAAGAUUUAUAUAGUAUAUAAAUGGCAGCAGAUUAAACAACUCAGUCUCCGCUUCA